This 229-nucleotide ribosomal RNA is filed under the name uncultured bacterium. RNAcentral describes it as "partial 16S ribosomal RNA". It matches the Rfam family "Bacterial small subunit ribosomal RNA", at positions 568 to 796 of the family's 1533-position model. The record is from RNAcentral.
UGCGCAGGUGGGCUUGUAAGUCAGUGGUGAAAUACUGCCGCUUAACGGUAGAACUGCCAUUGAUACUGCAAGUCUUGAGUAUGAUUGAGGUAGGCGGAAUGUGUUGUGUAGCGGUGAAAUGCAUAGAUAUGACACAGAACUCCAAUUGCGAAGGCAGCUUACUAAGCCAUUACUGACGCUGAGGCACGAAAGCGUGGGGAGCGAACAGGAUUAGAUACCCUGGUAGUCC